This 497-nucleotide ribosomal RNA is filed under the name uncultured bacterium. Its description in RNAcentral is "partial 16S ribosomal RNA". It matches the Rfam family "Bacterial small subunit ribosomal RNA", at positions 28 to 507 of the family's 1533-position model. The record is from RNAcentral.
GAUGAACGCUGGCGGCGUGCCUAAUACAUGCAAGUCGAGCGAACAGACGAGGAGCUUGCUCCUCUGACGUUAGCGGCGGACGGGUGAGUAACACGUGGAUAACCUACCUAUAAGACUGGGAUAACUUCGGGAAACCGGAGCUAAUACCGGAUAAUAUAUUGAACCGCAUGGUUCAAUAGUGAAAGACGGUUUUGCUGUCACUUAUAGAUGGAUCCGCGCCGCAUUAGCUAGUUGGUAAGGUAACGGCUUACCAAGGCAACGAUGCGUAGCCGACGUGAGAGGGUGAUCGGCCACACUGGAACUGAGACACGGUCCAGACUCCUACGGGAGGCAGCAGUAGGGAAUCUUCCGCAAUGGGCGAAAGCUUGACGGAGCAACGCCGCGUGAGUGAUGAAGGUCUUCGGAUCGUAAAACUCUGUUAUUAGGGAAGAACAAAUGUGUAAGUAACUAUGCACGUCUUGACGGUACCUAAUCAGAAAGCCACGGCUAACUACGUG